Molecule: ribosomal RNA, 403 nt
Filed under: uncultured bacterium
Lineage: Bacteria
Description: bacterial SSU rRNA
Rfam family: Bacterial small subunit ribosomal RNA
Source: RNAcentral
UAGGGAAUAUUGUAAAAUGGGCGAAAGCCCGAUGCAGCAACGCCGCGUGGGCGAUGAAGGCCUUCGGGUCGUAAAGCCCUUUUUGAGGGGAUGAGGAAGGACAGUACCCUCAGAAUAAGCCUCGGCUAACUACGUGCCAGCAGCCGCGGUAAAACGUAGGAGGCGAGCGUUAUCCGGAUUUACUGGGCGUAAAGCGCGUGCAGGCGGAUUGGAGAGUUGGAUGUGAAAGCUCCCGGCUUAACUGGGAGAGGUCGUUCAAUACUUCCAGUCUUGAGUGCAGUAGAGGGAAGUGGAAUUCCGGGUGUAGUGGUGAAAUGCGUAGAUAUCCGGAGGAACAUCAGUGGCGAAAGCGGCUUCCUGGACUGUAACUGACGCUCAGACGCGAAAGCUAGGGUAGCAAACG